RNAcentral lists this long non-coding RNA (1160 nucleotides) under Zea mays. Its description in RNAcentral is "long non-coding RNA (ZMAY_LNC004466)". The record is from RNAcentral. Lineage: Eukaryota; Viridiplantae; Streptophyta; Magnoliopsida; Poales; Poaceae.
CCGGUGGCAGUGGAGAUUCAAGGAAAUCCCUAGCGAGUAAACCAAGAAUGAUCUGGACUGCUGUAAGCUCUGAAUUAACAUUUUAUCCUUCCAUUAUUUCUUCCCUUUCCUUGUGAAAGAGUUGACAUUCUAUUUACAAAUUUAGAAUUCAAUGGGUUUUGGAAUACCUGCAUUGGGAAGCUGAUAGCUGCUCAGAGAUUCAAGGAAAUUCCUGGUAACAACCGACAGGAUCUCUGACCAAGCCAAUCUUUGGCCCUCAAGUGGUAAUAUAAUUGCGAGGAGAAAGGUCAAAAUGAACUCACUGCUGGCAAUCCUGCGGGUUGAAGCAUGAGAUUUCCGUCCGUCCAGAACCAAUCAAGAAAGUGUUGACCAUAGCCAAGUCAGUGGGGGCUUAGCUUUGUUGUGAGGGUAAGUACGAACUGACGAGUGACCUCGAGGGAAUUGAAGCAUCACGCUGUACGUUAAGAUAAUCUGAUCGGUGAUUGUUGACUUUUGAAAUAUGUGCUGCAUAACACGGUUUCAUUCUUUAGUUGGUGCAUCUGGUAGUACUUGAGAUUGCUAGAGGAAAUCGUUCAGAACGGUGAUCCGUAGGCUUAAUUCUUCUGACUUUUUCAUCUACACGUAUGCCCCAUGCAUGCGUAUUCAAAGGCUGCUGCUAUCCUUGGAAAUUCAACUUGCACAGAGAAAGGCACCCCCCGAUCUGCUCUGAAAACGACAACUAAGGGCGAUCCGAUUAUUUGUGAUCUUUUCUUUUUCUAUAAUGUAGUGAGGAAAUGGUGCCGACGCUUCUUUUCGCAAACGUUUCAGAGUAUCACAGCGAAUUUACAUGUGCCUGCUAAACGAAUUAAAUCCUUGCGAAAAAAGGCUAAACAAACUGAAUGAAAUGGUCAAAUUACUGCAUUUCACGCAACGGAAUAGCAAUUGCAUGAUGAGAGAAGUAGUGAUAUUUUCAUUUGGCAGAAUGUGCAGCUUCGAUUUCGUUAUGCUCAUCGGCGCUCCUGUUUUUGCUUCGACGGGGAGGAAAAACGUAAGCCAUACUUGUUGUGGCGCCGCCGCGCCGGUGGUGGCUCUCGGACGCGGCGUUUGUUUCUUCAUGCAUGGCCCAUGGCCAUGGGCAUGCCCAAUACCAACGUUCAGCGGGUCCUCUGCCUCCCUUGUCC